AACUAACGCUGGCGGCGUGCCUAACACAUGCAAGUCGUACGAGAAAGCCGGCUUCGGCUGGUGAGUAAAGUGGCGCACGGGUGAGUAACGCGUGGAUAAUCUGCCCUUAAGUGUGGAAUAACGUACCGAAAGGUGCGCUAAUACCGCAUAAUGCCUGGCAACACAAGUUGUCCGGCCAAAGAAGGCCUCUGUUUACAAGCUUUCGCUUCAGGAUGAGUCCGCGUACCAUUAGCUUGUUGGUGGGGUAAUGGCCUACCAAGGCUGCGAUGGUUAGCUGGUCUGAGAGGAUGAUCAGCCACACUGGAACUGAGACACGGUCCAGACUCCUACGGGAGGCAGCAGUGAGGAAUAUUGGGCAAUGGGGGAAACCCUGACCCAGCAACGCCGCGUGAAGGAAGAAGGCUUUCGGGUUGUAAACUUCUUUUACCAGGGACGAAGAACGUGACGGUACCUGGAGAAAAGCCACGGCUAACUACGUGCCAGCAGCCGCGGUAAGCAUACUCGUA
RNAcentral lists this ribosomal RNA (506 nucleotides) under uncultured bacterium. Its description in RNAcentral is "bacterial SSU rRNA". It matches the Rfam family "Bacterial small subunit ribosomal RNA", at positions 29 to 529 of the family's 1533-position model. The record is from RNAcentral.